CAAAAUUUAGAGCUUACUGUGCCUGGACCUGAGAUACAGAAGAGGAAAAAUUACAAACCCAAGAGGGUUGGAGCAAGAUGAAUCUGACUGCAUUUUAUCUCUGUAUUAUUUAACUCUAGGUGAGUAAAUUGGUGCUGAAAUAAUUGUACAUGUGGCAUAGGAGUGCUGAUACUGCUAACCACACUUCCACUUUUCAGUGUAGCAGCUUAUCUGAGCUUGGUCCCAGUGGUUAGUUUUGGGCUCAGGAGAUAGCAUGGUAACUGGUGUGUGGUAUGCACAAAGCAUGCUGCCAGCUUGAGUUUCUUUUUUAUGGUGUUUAAUUUUUGUAUUACCAUAAUUGAAAACUGCCUGCAUUGUUUCCUGAAACCUAGGGAGAGGCAAGACAGUUGCCAAAGUAACAUCAUCUUUACAUUUCACCAAGUUACCGUAAUGCAAUUGCCUUGCUCUUAACGUCUUAAAAGAGUAGUGAAAUGGAAUUUUACUUCAGAGGAGAAAAUAAGUGCAGGUUGCAAAUAGAACAGGAUUCCGUGCCGUUAAGUAGAUUAUACUCCUGUCAGGGUACUCCAGAUUUUACAGACACAAAUCUGAAUUUAACAUAUGGCCCCAGCCCUAGGCCAGGGUCCUGUUUGAAUUAUUCCAGGCUUGAACGUAGAAAGCUGUGCUCCAAACAUGAAUCCAAUUACCAGCUGUAGUCAGGCAAUUGAACGGCCACAGAAGAAAUACUCUAAUAGAUGGGGGGGAAGGAAGGAGGGGGAAGAGAGGGGAGAGGACUAUGAUUUGUGUGGUAAUCAAGAAGAGAAGGUCAAUUGUAAUAGAACAGGCUGGUUUAGAAGACAAAGCUAAUGCAGGAUGCCUUCCACUGUGUUGAGGGAUGCUAUCAAUAGAUCUACUGCUUUCAUUACAAAAAAUGUCACUAACUGACAAGAUGAAUAUAGGCAGGGAAAGAAGGGCUUUUGAUGGAUCAGGUGAUUAAAACCUAGACUGCAAUUAAGAAACGCCGCACUGAUGACCUGCACAGGAACUUAAGAAUAUGAAGGGAGGAAUGGAGAAGGUGCGGCAGUGUGCACACAUGCAGCUGUUUUUGAUUGAUGACACUGGAUAGGCUUUUAAGCAUGUUUCAAACUACUGUAAAGUACUGAAUAGAAACACCAAAAAUGCCCCUGAAAGUGUAUGGUUUUGUUAACUGUGUUACUGCAAUUUGAGCAGCUAGCAUUCUGCUUUUCUAGAGGCGGCAGGACCAGAAAUGAAUACCUAUUGAUCACUCUUUGUAAGAUGACUGUGCACAAUAGCUGCUCAGGGCCUGCCUUUGAAGCGUCUGCUGUGUCAGCCCACGAAUUAUACGUUUCAGCUGCUCAAUUACUGACAGCAGCCUGGGCAGCUGACACUCUGACUCCUAGAAAAUAUAUUGGGUUUUUUCCUCCCCGUCUCAAAAGAUCAGGAUUUCUGAAGAGAUCUUAAGAAGUACUUUCUGCUAAGUUUGAGAAACGUCAGCUAAACAUUCAGUGCCCUUCCCUGCUCUGCAGAUCAACCUAUAAAUCAGAAGGACAAAGUUCUUGGUUACUUAUAUUUUGUUUACUGCUGUUUACAUAAUGUUAUAUGUGAUUCUUGAGAAAUGGUAAAUGAGCUAAGACUUUCAUCAGUUUUAAAAUGCUGGCUUUGAUCAAUGAGAAGAACUGAUGGUCAAAAAGCUUCUAGAGCAGUGAACAUUCAAUUUAUGGCUGAAAGAAAUGCUAUGGAUUUCUUGAAAUAUUUCUGGGACUUUAAUUAAAUCUUUCAUAGCAUAAAGUGCUGAACUACGACAUUUAGGGGAACAUAAGAAAACGCUUUGCUGGAAACAUCUGCAUUUUCUUUUCAGGAGAAAACAGCUUUUUUAAAAAGUGGGGCAACAGAAGUUAUAAUGAAAUGUCGAAAGCUAUUUAUUCUAUAAAAGCAUAUGGUGUUAAUGUAUCCAUCAGUGCUGAUAAAUCCAUCAUGGCUUAAUCUGUUGUGCUCAGUGAGGUAACAGGACAAGAAACAGCCAUCUGCUUACCAUAUUUGAUUGCUGUUUCUUUGCACAAAUACAGUCCUGCUUUCAGCACUUAAGAGUGAUUAGCUGUAACUUAUGGAGCUUGCUGUGGCUUACCCACUGAGUAAUUACUGGAGAAAGCAAUUGCAAGAGCAUCUGAACAUGGGGGCAAAUUGUUAGCAACUACAUUUGUGACAAGUUUAAGGUCUAAAAAAUCUUCCUACAAGUGUGCCAUAAGGGAAAGAGAAAAAAGGGCAGAGCACAGUCUGUAGAGGAUAGGGAUGUCUAUUACAGAUAUUUUCCAAAGCCUAACCCGCAAAAGCUUGAAAAGCCUGAUUUCAUUCCCCUCCAAGCCCCCAAGGCAAAACAGUCCUUGAUUAAAAAAAGGGGAAAGAUUUUAAUUGCUCUUUCUCUUGUGUUCUGAGCUGGGUAAUUUAUUUUUCCAGUAGCUGCGCCGGUUCAGGGAUGGGGCUUUAUGCUACAUCUCCCUCCCUAUGCAAACCUGGGGCUGGGAUGGAGACCGGUGCUGAGACAAAAGCUUCUGUCCCACUGCUUUAAUAGGUCAUUUUAUUUAGCACAUUAAAAGGAGCUAGUCCUUCUUCUUCUUCUUCUUUUUUUUUUUUUAAUGGUCAUUUUGGAGAGACCUACUCCCCAAACCGAACCUUCGUGCAUCCCCAUCCUGUCCUGGCAUUUCAUCAGCCAAACGUUUGUUUACCCAGUGCCAAAUUAAAUGUAUAGCGAAAGAGAAUUCAUUUAGAAGAACAACCUAAGAUACUCAGAACAAGCCCAGAGUGCCUCUUCAAACACUGAUUUUGUCCUAUUUUAGUCCUUAAGUAGCAUUUGAGGUUUUCUUAUAACUACUUAUGACACUUAAGGCAAUUUUCUUUUUGAUUGCCUAUAACCCUUCUACUUUUGCAGCAUUCUACUACCUUUUCUCUCUACCACUAACGACCCCAAAUCUCCUCCUUUUUUGCCCCCACUAUUGCUCUAAGGGAAAAUUAAUACAAAACUUUAUCUUGCCUGUCACUGGGCUUUCCUCCAAAAAAAGUCUUAACGGUGACUUUAGAAUUGCGUUGGCCUGACACAAAAAUUAAUUUCUCUUAAAUGCAUGAUGUAGCUCACUGAAGUGCUUUGGGAUAUGUGCGAGAUUUUAGAUGUCAUGCAAAUAAUGUAUGUGUAUUUUACCUCUCUGAUAAGAGUCAUCUCUAUCUCAAGAUUGUGCUCUCUUUGAUCACUGAAAUAGACUUCCUCCUGAAGCAAGGGUAACCUUCAACCAAACAAAGCUUUUAGAACUGCAGCCAUGUUUGAGGGACUGCCUCGAGGGGUUUUUGGGAGAUAAGACAGGUCUUUUGCAGUGCAAGGUGAGGCUGUGAUCCUGCCUUUUGUGUAGUUCUGCCCACAGAAAGUCACUUAGAACAUAGUGGUGAAGAUUUUCCUUGGUGCUCUUGGGCUGCAUAGCCAGAGCACACCUCAGCCAAAUUUAGGUGGAUGGCUGAGGGUGGCCUGAGGUCCAUCUGCUGGGGUGUUCUCUCUCCAAAAAGGUGGUUAAGCUCAAAAAAGGCAGAAUUGUGAUGGAACAUAAAAAUAAAGACUGCUUUUUCACAUUAGGGUGAAUUAAAAAUGUCUGAAUAUAACUGAGAAGGAAGGAAGUCAAAAAAAAAAAAAAAAAAAAAAAAAAGGAGUGUUUGUCAUGCCAAUUUUCAGCCCAGUCGGUUAUAGCAAACUCAGAACAGCCUUCUCUGUUUUCAGAGGGGCUUUCUUGCCCCACUGAGUCUCAACCUCUCUCUGUGGCAGCUGCUGCCCCCCAGCCCCUUGCAGGGAUCCUUGCUCUCUCCAUCCCAUGGUCGGCUGCUCCCCAGGAAUGGACAUAACUUGCCUUUUCCUCCUGAAGGGAGAAACACAACCUGUGGGCACACAUCUACAAACAACUAUGCCAGAUAACCAAAACUUCAUCAGUAGGUUUCUUUCUCAAUAGAAGGAGCCCAGCCAGGCUCAAAUGUUGGCUAUCUCUUGGGUCCAAAAACAAUCAAUCAACUUGCAAGCAAGCAUCUCCAGAGGCGCAAACAUGCUGUGUCAGUGCAACUCCAGAAGUUCAAAGCUAAUACAAAGAUGUCCCACAUAUUCAUUUGAAAAUAGAUCCUAGAGGAAGAUGUUUGGUCCUAGCUUAAUGUCUGCUGCAGUUAAAAAAGCUAGGAAGAGCAGUUAGAGUUUACUGUUGCAGUAAAAUCCAGAUUCUGACUGUUCCAGAGCAACCAGAUCUCUUUAAAUGUACUUAAUUCUGUAGCAUGUGCUCAUUCUAAGUAUUUUUUUUUUCUACUUCAUACAUUUUUUGAGUGAAGGUUUAAUCCUGUGCAAUCUAGAACAAAUGGGAAGAUGUUUUCCCCAGGCUAGUCCUCACUUUGCUUCAUGAUAAGCCCUUUUCCUUCAAAGCAGCUGAAUUUUCUUUCCACGCGAUGAAAUGCUGCAGUACUAAUUCCAUCGUUGCUUUAAGAGCUGGAGUCACCAACAGAGAGUGAUUGUGUUGUUGUUCUUUACCAUCGCUAGGAAGUGGUGACUUUUGUUUGCUACUGUUGUUGACUGGAUUUGUGCCAGAGCCAUACAGCAAAUUAAAUAUUAUACAUCACCCAUAUAACCCCUGGCUAAUUUAGAUCCAAAGUAAUUGCUUUUAGAGUAAUUGAUUUACAUCUAUAGCUGAUACUUCUGCGUGUCUUUUGUUGUUUUAAUUAUCUAAUGAUCUGAUUGUGCAAGCAGUACAGGAAAAAAUCUUCAUGUUUAUUUGCUUUUGAAUCACAGAAAGUCAACAAUUUGAAGACCAGAGAUUUGCAGUCCAAAUUAUGUAGGACCUUUAACCUGGUCAUCAAUUUGACUUGCACAAAUCAACAUGCAUUUUUAAGUACAUACAUUACACUUAAGUAAUAUCCUCUACUGUGCUGCAAAUGAAUACUUAAGUUCCCUGCUUUAUUAUGUGAUCAUAGGAUUUGUUUUUUGACAAAGAAUGAAUCUGCGUACUAUUUUAUUAAGGAAAAUGCAAGAGUGAGGAAAGGCUGGUAUUUUUUGGAGGUAUUGUGAUUUGGUAUUUGAAAGUGGGGAUUAUUUGACAUAUAAUCAUUGCAUUUGAGAAUGUAGGAUGCAAUCAGUUCUUAGCUGAUUACUUUCACUUGUUUAUUAUUAGUAAUUUGUAAUUCAGCUUCUUCUAGUAUAACAAGUUAGUGUCUCAGACAUGACUACAACAGAGAAAAAUGUCACAAAAGAGCAUAGGAUGUGUGGAAGGAUGGAAGGUGAUAUCAUUUCAUUCCACCACUGUUGGCUGCAGAAUCUGCUCAUGAUGACAGGUGGAAAGCCUGUCAUCAGCAGGGGGCUGGAAGUUGGAAAUCCAUUUGCAGGCCAGUCCCCAGUAAUUACGUGAGUUUGAAGAUGAGAAGGCAAAAAGUUGAUGACGCUUUUGUGGAAAUCAGAGCUGAAUGGACUGAAAUCCACAGGGAAACUGAAGAUGUGAAAGAGGACAGUUAGGGUGAGAGAAGGAGUGAAGGUGAUACCAAAAAUAUUCUAUGAAGUACACGAACCACACAGAAAGCAAACUGUUUUGACCUUCUGAGAUAUCAAAAACAUUAAAAAGGGGAGGUUCCUUCAAGCACCUUGUCAGUAAUCAUAUCGGAGGUAAUCUAAACUUUCACUACAUUGGAAUUCAUUGUAAUCAUGAUCCAACAAACAUUUCUGGAGGAGAUUGGCAAGACAUUUUCUCUGGCAAUAUUCUAAGUCAUAUUUUUUUGUUGUUGCUGGGACAUGGGAUGUAUGUGAGCAAAAUAAGGCCUAUCGUUGUCAGAGCCUCUGAAUUUGGUCAGAUUCCUGCAGAUUAUGUUCCUGCUACAGAAGAGAUCUGAUAGUAUUUCCUCUCUUCUUGCUCUCUCCCAUGCAGCUUUCUGUUAUUUGCACAGAAGGAAGGAUGUAAUUGUAAUUUACACCAAUAUUGGACUUUUCACAACAAUCUAGUGCUGAUUUUCUAAAGAUGCUUUUCAGCCCUACUGCUAUUUAAUUUCUUUGGCCUUUUAAGUAGCUGCAAGUAGCUUUAUGACCACCAAAACCUUCUCUGUCCUGUACAGUGUCCCUUCCAGAAAAUUAUAUGCAUAUUGCUACCUACUUUAUUGGUGUUAAAUUAGCUAUAGCUUAUAUUUAUAUUAUUAUCUUUGUAAAUAUAUUUUUUUCUGCUACUUCCCAUUGCUGUAUGCUGUAUAUACUGUUUUACAAGGUUUACAAACUGCUUCCAUAACUGUAAAAUCCAUGAAACUAAGAGUUUAAAAUAGAGUCACAUAGUGCUUUGAAAAAGUUGCUCUCAUUUUUAGUAGUUUGUCAGGUAAUCAAUUUAAAGGUCUUGUAUACUGCCUUUUCAAUGUGUAGGUAUAACUCUUGUAAGCAUUAAUAGGAGUUACAUUUCCUAUUCACUGGAGACCAUAUUUAAUUUGCUUCUCAUUCUUUCAUCACGUAGAUUACAGUAACCUGAAGUAGGUUAAAAAACUACAGUAUAUUUGCAAGUAUUUUCAAUAUUCCAUUUUAGCAACCUUGUUUUAAAAUUUAUUCUAGCCUGAGAAGUGGAAAGUAUUGAUUUUAUCACAUCUGUUUCCUAGUAACAUGUUCAAAGAUAACAUGGCACCCUCUCUGGGUUUUAUUUCAUAACUAAUAUAUUUAGAGGAACAUAAAUCUGACUCUCUGCAUUGAUUACCCACCCCAGGGAAAAAGACUCAGUGGAUUAAAAUUCUGACACAGGAAGCUCCUGAGGGAGCUGCUGUCAGAGCAACUGUCUGGGCAAAUUAGAGGUGUGCCCAAAGCAGGGUGAGCAAGCAGAGAGCUCAGAGAUCUGUGGGCAUACCAAAACCAAAACCCCAGCAGUUUUAAGAAGAAAAAAAGAUUUUGAACACAGUCUCGAAAACCCUGGAUUAAAGAGAUUGAAUUUCACCCUGCAGCAAAUGAGCAUGUAGUAUGUCUCCCUGCUGUCUUGCAUCAGUGCUGAAAUUGGUCUAGACAUCUGGAGGCUACUACGUUAUCCAGAUUUUCCUAAAUUUUCUAUAUAUAGUAUAUAUACAAAGACUUUUAGAUGGACAACCUUGUGUUCUUUCAUAGUUAUGAAAAUCUUUUGUGUUUCAGCUGCACUUUUGCACAGACAGAGGUUUCUUUAGCGAGACUGAGGUUUAGACAGAUUUUUUGGUAUAAGAAUAUGGAAGAAGACAACCAAGUGAGUUCCGUUGCUGUUAAAAUUGUAAAGAACCAGUAUUAAGACUUCAGCAAAUCUGCCACAUAAGUAACGCUAAUAAUUUUAGAGCUUCCUACAGACUCCAUUUAGGACAAUAUGCUUGUAAAGGCUGUCAGAUCUUACCAAUGGAAAUUCAAUGAAAGCCAUAACAAUUUUACAGCUUAACAACUCCACAGUCAUUUUCAGGCACUUGAUAUCACAUGUGAUUAUUUAAGAGUAUCUUACUUUUCUUUUGGUUCACAAAGAAAAAAUAUGCAUUUGCUAGCUAACUUUCCAUCCCUGCCUUGGAGCUUGACUGAUCAUUUCUUUCAUCAGAGGUCAUCUGCGCUUCUAAAAAUGAAACCUGUGUGGCCAUUGUUUGUUCAGUUGUUGCAUAUUAGCUCCUCAGUGGUUAAAAAGAUCUGAACAAAUAAGAGGGCUUACCCUACAUUAUAUUACCCUUUAUUAGUAGGAAAUUGAAGUCUAGAGAUUAUUAUUAAGCCUCAGCCACUGAAGGCUACCCAUAGUCUGAUAAAGACCCCUCGAACUGACCCUUGAUCAGGCUGCAUUAGGAGGAUUUUACCCUUGUUACUAAUUAAACAAACAGAUCUGAUGGUAUUAUUCUUUUUCAUAGCCGUUUCAUGACAUCAGCUCUCCCCAGCACCCAUGGACAAAGAGAAUCAUGUUCCUCUUUGAGAUGCAACGGUAUAUUAAGGGCCUGACACUGGGCCAUCCAGUGCUCAGUUGCCCUGUUAUGUUUAACACAGUGGUGUAUCAGGUGUCAAAGGGCUUCUCAUUGAAGUUUGGGGGAAUAAAGACAAAGUUUCCAUUAAAAUAGAAACUUCACAGACUUUGUUUUUCAGAUGGAAGAAAAGCAACUUAAUGUCUGCCAGAGAAUGGAGGAAGGAAUAGCUUGCUGAAUCAGAGGCAUAGGCAUAAAGAAAGGGUGUUUGGGUGAUUUAAGUGCCUUUCAGUAACUUUACUCACCUUUUUACUAAGACUGCAUCUUUGCAGAUUAGUUUCUUCGUUUCCAGGUAGGUAUAACGUUAAGGUAAUGAACCCUUCAAAUUCUGCAGUGUUGCAGAUGGAAAUUUCAUUUUGAAGGGCAUAAUCUCUGUACCAACAUGACUUAAAAGUAAACAAAUUCCAAGCAGUGUAUUUAUUAUUUUGUGGGAAAAGUCAUCUCUACUUUAUACAAAUAGAGUUCACCGGAAACAAAAUAGAGAUGGAUCUGAGGCUUAUUUUUUUCUUCUGAUUUUGACUGCAUGAGGGAAACCCAAUGAUUUAUACAGAGCUGCAGUCAGAUCAGAACGUCCAGCCUGGAUAACAGAAAUCCCUGUUGCUUAUUGGAUGACACAAAGAAUAAUUCUGUCACCCUGCUAUGGACUCCACCACAUUCUAGUCCUGAUGAUGGAAAAGAUGUUAGCAGAAGACAGAAAAUUAUAUGUGUGUAUAAUUAAAUAAGUUCUCAGCUCUUCUUCCCACCAUUAUUGGUUUUACUUUUUCUCUUUGUUACGAUGUGCUCUUGGAGAAAACCUGUAGGCCAGGGGCUUGGUGCUCCAUGCAUGGGAAGCCUGACUUCAGCUUUGAUUUACAGAAAAAUAAAAUCAUAAGUAAGAAGAAGCUGUAUUAUGUAUUUCUCUUUCUUUAUUUAAUAUAACAGAAGCAUUAUGACUUAAAUAACUUAGUUAUGACUUAACUUCAAAUGAAUUAGAAAACAUUUUUAGAAGAUCAAUUGAAAUGUUAACAUUUCUAGUCAAGAAAAAAAUGUGUUUACAGUUGUUGACAUUUUGCUCUAGUAGCUGUUUUUCCCCACUGUUGAAAAGAAUGGAUUGCAUCUUGUUUUGAUCCUAAUUUCUUGCAUUAAGUUUUAUCAAUAUUUUUCCUUAUUCUUUCUGUGUUCCAGACAGUAAUCGUGCUGCAGAGCCAAACUUCUGAUCCUAAUGAGUGUAACUCUACUGCCCUGUCUUUCCUUCUUACCCAUUUUCAUGAAUGUGUACAUGUAAGCCCCUCAAGCAGAAAGUCAGCACUUGGAGGUCAGUGAAAUCUCGUGUUGGUGUCACCUGCUUUAAUGCCUCCUUUACACUAACCGAGGCAUAGAGAGGUCAGAGGAUCUCAAUUUGCUGUCUCGCUUACAACAUACCCAUCUUAGCCAUCACAUUUACCAGAUCACAAAAUGCAUUUUUCAAAGCAGUUGUACCCUGCAUAGGAGUCACAACAUAAAUUUAUCUGGGAAAGAUGGAUUUGCAAUAAAAUUACUAACAAUCUAUGCAUCUUUAUAAAAACAGGAUCAAUUCUGAAGAAACUCCAUUUCUUUUAUUGCUCUGAUGACAUGGGAACUUGAAUUUCAAGACAAAUAUUUUUUGUUAAACACUAUAAAUUGUCAUUAGUGCAGCUCUGAAAUUUUUCUUUAAAGUGUCUUCUAUGAGGAAAUCAAAUCUUCUGGAAAGCAAAGCAUUUUGUAGAAAAGUUAACUUAGAUCAAUCUUUUCUGUAGAGGAAUUGAAAAGAAUAAAUGGUUGAAGAUUAUGGUUUCAUUAUUUCUGUAAUAUGUAUUUUCCUUGGGUUUUGGAUGCAAUUUAUAGUUUUAUUAAGACUUCAAAAUUGAAAAAAGAAAAUUUAAUUUUGUAAAAAGAAAUUUUAUAUUAACCUUAAAUGAAUUUUGGGUUUUUUUUCUUGUUUGUUCAGGCUUCCAUAUUGCAACAGGAAGUUCUAAAAAUCACAGAAAAUGUUAUUUUGGGAAGUCUGUAUUUGCUUACACUGUUUUGAUUUUAACAUGUGCUUUUGCUUGAAGCUAUGGUGAGGCUGAGAAGCUUGUUUUCACAACCUGCUAACUUAGGAAAAUUAGAUGCAGGAAGGGAGCUAUCUCCAAUGUGAGCAGUGCGGACAUCAGAGAGAAGAGUUGCAUAAGCCUCAGGGCAUGGUGAAACUGAACCUAAGCUCACCCAUGGAUGGCACUGACAUUAUUAUGGACCUUCUGCAAGGGCUUUUGUGUGAUACAGUGUAUGUAUAUAAUUGCUUUCUCGUGGUUUUCAAGAGACCAAAAGUCUUCAGGUAAGAGAAAAGGAAUAAUUACUUCCUAUGGAUGUGAUAUGGAGAAAUUAAGGUUAUACUUAAUGUCACAGGAAAUCUACAGAUAGAUUCAUGAUUAACUCAUUUUUCACGUUAUUACAGUUCCAUUUUUAAUUUGAUUUACACCUUCUUCAAGGCACAUGUACCUACAUGUCUUCUGAGGCGAACUUAUUGUUUUCAGUUUUUGUUUGUUCACUCCCUUGUUCUGCUAGGAGAACGAUGUCUAUAGAAGAAUCAACAUCCAUUCAUUCAUAAUUAUAAAACCGUGGUAUCUGAGAUACUACUGCAAUGAUUUUUCUGAAUAUAAGAUGUCCUUUGAAUAGCAACAGUCAUCAUUACAUACUAAUAAAAGUGAUAAAAGACUUGAAAAUACCUUCUGUAGAGGCAUCCCAUUUUAGUAAGUAUCAUCAGAGUGUAUUUUUCCCUAGCUUAAAACUGAGCACAUAGAUUAUGUCAGAGCAGUAUAUAAAUUCUUCUGAUGUAUUUUACAGUAUCAUAGUAUAAUGUUUGUACUUAUACCUAAUAAGUCACAGAGUCACAGAAUCAAGUGGCUCUGUCCCAAGACAGCCUGCACUUUUGUUUUUCAUUUGGUUGUUUUUCUUCCUCCUUCAUGGAGAAGAACAUCUCCUGAAGCUGGUGAUCUAUCAGUGUCAGUGGUAUGUGCAUGUAUAACACAUCCUGUAAGCUGGUACUGUGACAUUAGGUGCCCUCUUUGUAAAUCUCCUCUUGAAAUACAGAUAUGCUGUGAGAUGAUGUGAACGAUGAAAUGUUGUGGAGCCAGAAGGAAUCAUACCUGUUGAAGUGCAUCCACAGGAGGGCCAAAGGAAUGAUCCAAAGAGUUGAACCCCUUUGAGGGCAGGCUGAGAGCUGGGGCUGUUCAUCCUGGAGAAGAGGAGGCUCUGGGGAGACCUGAUCGCAGCCUUUCAGUAUCUAAAGAAGGGCUGUAAGUCAGAAAGGGACUAUACAUAUUUAACAGGGUCUGUUGUGAUAGGAUAUGGGGAAAUGGUUUCAGACUAAAAGAGGGGGGAUUUAGAUUGGAUAUAGGGAAAAAGUAUUUUGCAGUAAGGCAUUUACAGAGACAUUGGAGCAGGUUGCCCAGAGAGGUGGUGGAUGCUCCAUCCCUGGAGACAUUCUGGGUCGGACCAGAUGGGGCUCUGAGCACCCUCAUCUAGCUGUAGGUGUCCCUGUUCAUUGCAGGGGAAUUGGGCUAGAUGACCUGUAGGGGUCCCUUGUAACUCAAGCAAAAUCUAUGAUUUUUGUGUAAGAUAAUAGGAUAGUUGUAAGGGAUGGGAGAAAGUAAAUAAAUCAAAGCAGGUAUGUUAAUGCAUUCUUUUAUCCAUAACAUUCCCAUAAAGUGAAAGAUGGGGGAAUAUUGUUAGCUUUUUUAAAAUCAUUUAUUUAUUUAUUUAUUUUAAUAUUCCGUGUAUCAGUUGUGAAACUGUUCUUCAGAAAUAACUUGGGCAUUAGAAUGUAGUGUUUGAGAGAGAUCAGCAGUGCACUUCUACAUCUCUCUUUUGUGUUAUUUUCAAACACUUGGUAUAGAGACAAUUCACUGCACAUCUUAGGGGAGAGAGAAAUCUUUGUUCUUUUCCGAAGACUUGCCUUUAAGGAUGGCACCUACUGGAAAGAAAAAUUAAUCCUAUCUGUGUAAUUACAGGCAUUAUCAGUAGUGUGAGGAAAUGGGUUGUUUGGAUCUGAAUGCUCUGAUUUGAGCCAAUCUGUAAUUCAGGACGAAGCCAACUGUAACUCCUGAGAAGUGUUUGCUUUGCAAUUUUAUAAUGCUUUGUAUUGAGGUCUUCCCUAACUGCAGCCCUUCAGAAAGAAUGAGGUAUGGAAAGAAUGAUGGGCAUGAAAAUGCACAUGUAUAACAGUUACCCAAAUACACUGUUUAUUUUACUUGCUUAUCUAAAAAGUCUAAGCAAUUCUAAGUCUACAGUCUCAUAUCUCCUCUUUUAUUCUAUGGUAGAUCAGUAGCUGUCUUAAAUUUCCUUCUUCUAUUUUUAUUUUUUGCUUGUUUGAGGUUCAAAUUCAGCAGAAAAGAAUCUAAACUCAGAAUUUUGCUAUACAAGUAUAUGUUUGUUUAUAUGUGUAGAUAUGUGUGUGUAUAUAAGGAUAUAUACACAUAUGCAUGCAAAUAUAAAGAGAUAUAUAUAAGCAAAUAUAUACAUAUAGGCACACACACAACAUAUACAUGUAGACAAACAUACAGAUAUGUGUAUAUGUCUCCAGGGAGCAUGUAGUAGGUGGCUGGAAAUGAUGCUUCAAAAGCUUCAAUAACUCAAUCAUUGUUUUCUCUUUAUCUCCAGAUAGUGAACUUUUUGCUCAUCUGCUUCCUUGUAUAAUUGCAUUGGCUUUUUCCAUGAGUUGAUUUGAGUCUGUUCCCAGCUAAAUCAUUUGGGAAAAGAGUUUGGAUCUUCUCAUGUUACUGGGAUUGGAUAAAUUCAAGAAAUUCAUACUUGUAGGAUAAAAACAAAGAAAGAGAAAUUGCACUAGUUGCCUUGCUGUUUACUUCCCUGCAUAACUCUCUUUUUGGCUUCUUUAUUGAAAGUUUUCAGUGAUUCUAUUUUUUGUUUUCAGCCCUUUGGAACAGUGGUAAAAUAAAAUUUUAUAUUUUGUGAGUACAAACAGUAGACUUUACAGAGAAACUUACUUAGAUUUUCUUUCCAAUAUCAAAUGUUGUCUUUAGGCCAUGAUGUUUAAAAGGCCUGUGAAUUUUAUCUGACAUUUUUAGCUACUGAGGUUGGAUUAAAAAGUUGCUUGAAGAAUAGGAAAGAGAAAAUAUCUUAACAUAUAUAUACUAUACAAAAACUGAGACAUAAUUCGUGAUUAAAAAGGAGGUUGUAUAUUUUGAAUUACUUCAGUUGUGACACUUCGUGCUUUAUUUGUUUCAAUAAUUCAUUGUAUUGGCCUUAGAGCAUUGAUACUUCAUAGACACAUAUAAUAAGUGAUAACUGACUGAUGUUUUAAAGCCAUGAUUCAAGAACGUAUUUUGGCACAUGCUGAUGCCUGUUCAGGUAAAAAUAUAGUAAAUUUAAGCACUGUCUUGAAUGGAGUGAAGUGUUAGCUCACAUGCCUUCCUGAGCCAUGGUCAAAGUAAUACUCUCUGAAGUUAAACCAAUUGCAUUCCUCAUUAUUUUAGCACUGAAAAAUGAUCUCUAGAUCUCUAGACUUAGCUAUUUUGUUUCUGAGUGACUUCAUUUUAUUCAUACCAAAAAAAACUUUCCCCAAACUUAUUACCACUGGAAGGAGAACAAGAUAUUGGUAUCAAACCUUUGAUGCAUCUGGAACAAAACAUGAUCAGCAACAUGACUUUUGCAAUGUCAUUUCUAUGGAAAUGUCAAUAAGUAGGGAAGUAAAUUAAAUUAUCUUGUUGCAUCUUUUUUUUUUUUUUUUCUGUUGUUCUUUUCUAGCUGUGUGCAAAGGAAGAUACUCCGAACAUCUUAGUGUUAUGCCAGUGGCUGUCACUUGAAUGUCGUACAAAGUGGGCGUUAGAUCAGUAGGUCUGACACGGAAGAGGCAAUCUGCCUCAGUUCUUGAAAUGAGAGACUGAAAAUCAGCAGUGUCCCUUCAGAAACUAUGCCAGAGCAGAGGCCUCCCUGCCCAAGGGCAAACAGUGCUGCAGGAUGCUCGGCAGCAGCCCUCAGGUUUGGUCUCACCGCUGUGGCAGCAGUCCGCUAUUUGGGCCUGCCAGCAAUGCCCAGCCUGAAGGGUUUUAAUUGCUGGCACUGACUGCCUUUUUGUUUUUAUGUAUUCCCCCUCUCAGUGUGCCUUCCAUUAUGGUUUGUUGGCAGGUCUGAAAUGCUCAUAGUUUCAGCCGUGAUUGCUUUCAUAAGAGUCAUGAGAGAGUGCACCUUUAAUAUUAUCUGCACUGUAGGUAGAAAGCAAUAGUUAUCGUUGGCAGCAUGCCAAUGAAUAGAAAGUGACAUUUUAAAUGGACACUACUGGUGCAUCAAGCAGAUGAAAUUAAAGGGAGGCUGUGACAGCUAAUGAAAGGCUGGUAUGGGAAAUGUCCAGGGUGAAUGUGUUGUUUACUAGCAAGUGUACCUGAUUGGAUGAGGAUACAGCUGAUUGCAAUUCACAGUGGGAAUAAGGAGCUAUUGCGUGACAAAUGCAGCUCUCCCAGGAUGGAGUUAGUUAGUCCUUGCCUGUGGAGAUUCAUAGGUUAAGCAACAUCAUCUGAAGUGCCAUCAGCGGUGACUGGGGUUUCUUUGGCUGAGAAAGAACUUUUUGCUGCUUCACGUGGGGAAAGCAGCCUCUUGCAGCUCAUUUCCAGAGAAAAUGCACAAACACACAGAGAACAGGUUUUAGAAGCAGAAAAGCAACCAGGUAUCUUGCCUUCUCUGAAAAGGUUUAAAAAAUAUAUAUAAAAAUUAAAAGCCACCAUAAUAAUUGUUAAGAUUACGUAGUAAGUUAAGAAUAGUUAAUUGUAUUUGCAUAACUCAUGUCACUUGCCAACAACAGCAAAAACUGACUUACAAAAAAAAUGUUUGUGUAAAAACAUAAAGAAAUCUAAAUAGGCUUAAUAAAGCCUUUGUGCCAACUUCUGGUCUCUGUGAAGUGAGUAAGGUCUGUAGUGACCAGGAGUAAGGCCUCAGUGUGACCAAGAGUUGGAUCACAUUGGCUAUCAAGUGAUACACCACUGCUUUCAUCAGUGUAUUGGAUAGCAUAGUCAGUUUUGAAUACAGCUAUUUUCACAGGCAUUUAUAAAAUACUGAUUUUGAGAAAGGUAAAAAAAAUAAUUAAAAAAAAAGGUUGAAAAAUUUAUUUAAUGUGGCCUUUCUGCAUUUAUUUUUAAGUUUUUUUUUAAGUGAAUGAUACAUUUUUGAUUUGUUUUCUUUUGAGCCCAUUUUCAUUUAUAUACAGUCACAGUUCAGUGUUAAAAUUACAACAAAUGAAAGGCUAUAUUUUUUAAAAAAUCAAGCACUGUUGGCAUCCAGUAACUGGUUUCAAGCCAGAGCUCCCAGCACAGAGAUUCAACCUGGAUCUGCAAAGAUAUUUAGCAAAUGUUAGGAAUGAGGACUACAUGUGUCCUUGCAUUUUUUCAUGCUAAAAUAAAUGCUAUCACACUUCCUGAGUUUUCUGAGUACCUGCUAAGAAAGAAGGUGCAAGUUAAAAGUUAUUCUACCUAUAAGUAUUUCAGUAUAUAUAUGUAUGUGUUUGCUUAUGUAUGCAUAUAUAAAAAAUAUGAACUAUCUCAUGUUGUCGGCAGCAAAAUCCAAAAUAAUUUUAGAUGCACAGCUUUGCCAUUUCUCAGUGACUGAGCCAGGUAGUUGAUGAAACAGUGGAAUUUUUUCUUGGCAUAAGGUUUUUCCUUCCUUUGUGGAGCUGAGGGUCUGGCCAAUAUUGAACUGCUGGAUUCUGAGAGCUCCUAAAUAAUAUUGCACAAAGAAGAUCCAUGUCAUCCCAAGAAUCCUGCAUGGUUCUAUCUGCCAGUGGUUCAAGUUUCAACUCAUCGAUGGCAACUAUAGGAAACUACAAAAGAAGAGACAGUGAUGUUAUAAGCUCAUGAAAUAUAGCUAUAACUAGUAGAUAGGAUUGUUUCAAGGCAUUAUGUGAAGGGAAUUUGCAGGUACGUUCUUUUUUUCAAGCAGCUUUAUUCUUCUCAACAAGGACCUUUUACUAUUCAAUUAUUUAGGAUCAAGUUGUUAGUUGUGAUUGAACAGAAUUCAAAUUUAGAAACCAGUAGGCCAGUGAAAAUGAGAAACUGGGGCUUAGAAGAAAUAAGGAUUUGAGUCUACAAUUGAGUUCUCAUUCUGCCCAUUUUUUUUGGUUACAAAACCCAUGAGCAUGACUGGCAUUCAGAAGGCACUGCUAAGAACAAUUGUGUGGAUUUUCCAGCCUUACAACUGGCUCACCCUGCAAAGGGCAGAUGCUGAGACUAAUACUUUCCACAUACUGCUUAUCUGGAACAUUAAGAAGAAAUCUGCUUUUGAUUUCCUGUAACUUCAUCUGUUCCUGACUUGAUAGGGUAGUUGGAUAUGAUGAUCUUAAAGGUCUUUUCUAACUUAAGAGAUAUGAUGAUUCUAUGAUUCAACUUGGUCUCUGGAGUGAAAGGGGAACAAACAGAAAACCCCAGGCUGAUUUCUGGGUCUGGAAAAGGCAAAGACGUAGAUAAGAAAGGGUCACAGUGCUAAGGGUAUUAUCCCAGGGCUGCUUUGAAGGCUGGGAAAUCCCCACUCUCUGGGAGGGGAAGGCUACAGAAGCAGAGAUUGACUGGAAGACUUGAUUUUCUCUGAGUGUUCUGUGACCAUGGGGUGUAGGGCCAGAUAAAUCUGUAGAUGCGACAAUUCAAAUUUGAGUUAUAUUAACAACUGUGGCUGCAGCAUAGACAUUAAAACAUCAUUGAAAAGGAUCAGUGUCCUUUUCUAAGAAAUGGGCACAUAAAUGGGUCACAUAGAUGAGGAGCUCUGGAGCGUAUUUGGAUUCUCAUCAUUGUGCAGAAUACGGCUCUGUUGUGUGGAAUUUUUGCUUCAGUCACACAAAAACUGUUGAUUUAUUCUUAAGUACACAUUGAUUUCUGGGAGUAAUUUCUACUUGUUUGACAUUUUUAACAGAGAACUAAAAGAUUCCAUUCUUAUUAAAGGCAAACAGAAUUCUCCCUGAUGUGUGGCUUGGGAUUUGGGAGCCAUGUAGGGUGUUGAAGUGUCACUUGUCUACAGUAUUUCUUCCUGAAAUACUGUAUAUAUAAGCUGAUGAAAAAUUUGAAUGCAAGUAUUUUAACUGGUACAAAAAUUUAUUUUUUUCAUUUUCCGAAAAACAUUAACUUUGUCUGGAAAUUGCCAAAUGUAUGUAUGAGUCCAAACUUUUGCAGCAUAGUGCUUCAAACUGAAAUUUUAAUAGAUUAGCUAUGUUCCCUAAGGACGUAGGAAACCAUAGACAACAGAAUAGUAUAGAAAGUUCACAAAUUGAAAACUUAUCCUUUGCAGAGAGAUUGUUCAAAGUCAACUCCAUUUAAUGUAGAAGACAAGGAGCAUAAACAAUGAACUGAAGAUAUAAAUUUGUUUUCAGGCGAGCCAGGUAAAUGUUGUUUUCCUUUGUUUGCAUUUUAUAGAAACCAGAGAUCUUUUCUUAGUAUACACAGUAAAUUGAAAAUAUACAUGCUUAUUUACCAUCUGAAAAGAUUUAUGUUACUAUUCUAAGUGCAUUAAAUGUUUAGGUUGGAUGUGGCAGUUGGCAAAUGUCUGAGUUGCAGUAGGCAGGUGAAUAAUUAUUUGGGAAAAGUAAUUUGAACCAUCUACUCAGAGCACUUGAAUUGCAUUUCCUGUGUUUUCCAGAUGUAUGUAUUUCCUUGUGUAUGUUCACUUCUCCUUAAAUCAGAAAUCAUUUAGUUCAGAAGCAGUGUGGCUUUUUUCUGAUGACCAAAUCUGUAUUUAAAGCAAGACAACAACAAAAAUCUCUUCUCCAAACCAAAAUCUUAAGUAUUUCCAACUCAUAAGCAAGUAGAAAUAUCAUCUGGAAAAAAUCAGAGCACCUUGAUAAGCUUGGAUAUAUGGCUCUUAAGUGAUAUCUUUGGGUUAUAGAAGUCAAAUAGGAACAUUCAAUCAAUCUGAAUUUGAAAGCUCGUAAGGACCCUGAAGUAUUCGUGCUGACUUAUUCUUGUAGAGGAGAAAGGUCUAUUAAUACUUUCUUUUUGCUCCCUGCUCUACAGAUUCCUAGUUCGCCCCAUGUCAAUGUGCAAAGCAGAAUAAGCAUGUUGGGUAGGUGCAAGAAGGAAGAAAAGGAGUGGGGACCCGCUGUUUGAGAAACCGACACAACAGAGAGCUCCUGCAGCAUGCCUUGCAAACACGGCAGCAUGUCUCAGUGGACCUGUGGCAAACAGGCGACCUGUUACUGUAAAAUGACAAGCACAGCAUUAGCUAUUAUAGAAUAGUUGGCAGUAAAAAUCAUCAAACAAAAACAAGACCCAAAUAGAGCAGUUUAAAUUUCUCUUCAUUUGUCAUUCCUCAGUAGUGUCUUAGAUUCAUGUGCGGUUUCUCUACUUACGUGACUGGAGAAGGCAGUAGGAGAAUGUCACUCAUAGCCUGAUUAGCAUGAACUCCUUAAACUAAGGCUUCAUCUUUGACAACUGUGAUAUAAACUUAUUCUUCCAAGAGUAACCAGAGGACAGGUACCUAUAGACGCCAUCCAUCACCUUCACAUCUACUGACUCACUUGCAGCUGCCUUCAUAGACUUGCUUUGAAUUCCAUGACCUUGGUUAGAUUUUUCUUUUAAGUUUGAACUCUGUGCUGGUCAACUUCUGGCCUGAAUAAAAUUUUCUCAUCUUAACAGGAAGCUGCAGAGACAUAAUAUUUGAGAUAAAAUCUUCAUCUAGAUUUACUGUGUGUGUGCUUUAAAAAAAAAAACGCACUAAAAAUAGAGAAGUGAUGAUGAAUUUGCAAGAGUUCCUCAAAUCCCCGAGUAUGGCAUCAAUUUUUUUUUUUUUUGCUUGCUCUGACCAGGUAAUGGGCCUCCUUGAAAGCUGAAAAGGGCCAUGCUGAGAAUGCAGGGAAAGCGAUACUGAAGACAAGGAUGUUUGUGGGACAAGAAGCAAGGCAUACCAUAAUAUUACUCCCAUUCUCCUUGGACCACCGAUUUCAAGGAUGUUCGAAGCAAGAUACAGCUGCCUCUCCGCAGUCUGUUCUACAGGCAUUUAGAAGAAAUGGAAAGAAGGAAUACCCCUGAGGUGGAGGUCAUCCCUGCUAGAUCACAUUUGCCUGCUCUGAUUCACUCUCAGGAGGAGCACUGCAAAGAGAAGGUACCUCUUCAUACAGAUCUUGCUGGAUACAACUGGAUCAAUUGAACUUAUGUGAGAGAGAGGUACAAAGGAAGUAAAUGCAGGUACGUAGAUAAUUUACAGGAAAGUUUAGCCAAAGUAGCUAAGUUUUUACUAACAUACAAUUAGCUGAAAGUGAUGGAUUUUCUUCAAGUUUUGGGUAACUUACUAGUUAAUAUGCUGGACCAUUUUUCCUGAAUAUGUUCAGAACUGUGUAGGUUUUUGAGUCUUCUAUUUCUAAUAACAGACAGAGCAAAUUUUAAAGGAGAAGGAAAAAAGCAAAACAAAACACACACACAUGCAUACAAAAAAUGCAAAAACAAAAACAGCAACAAAAACCUCCAUUGGUGGGUUUUGGAAUCUCUUAAUCCUAUUUUUGCUUGUCUCAAUACCAUGUGCAUUUCCUGAAGGGGCUUGUGUGCUGAUCUGCACUAUUACCAUAUGUUCUACAUAUGAAAAUAAUUCAGUGAGAGUAGUUGUCUAUGUUUGUAUGCGGUGCAUAUACACAACAUACAAACACACACACACACAUUCUUAUUUAUACUCAUAAAUCAUUGCUUUCAAGAACAGAUGCCCUUCUACUGCUCUGUACCUCAGUGUUUCUACACUCGAGAGUGCCUUAAUUUGGAAAAAAUUGCAACUGUCACAGCUCUGCUGCAGUAAUGGUUUUGUAAGAACCAACUUAAUAAAAACAUCAAGCCUCUCUGUUCCAAACAAUUUUAUUAUAGUUAACAACUCAGCCAGUUAUCAAAUAUGUUGUCACCAAUGCACUCUGUCUUCGUGAAUGAUGACAUGGACGAGCCCUGGAUUUCUGUAGUGCUUUACACAUAUACACAGUGCCUUACAGCUGUGUAGCAGCGUUUCCUUAAGGAAUAAAACUGCACAGGAAGUAGAUAGAUGAACCAUGUGAUAACUAUUUUUUGAUGAAAAGCUUCUACAGACAUCAAAUUAGUUUACCUGAAAUAAUUUAAACAACAGUAGAAUAAUUACAAAGUCCACUGUCUGGACCUUGACUUUUCUGAAACAAGCAUACAAUUUUUAAUAAUCAUGACCUUCACCUUCAGCUCUGACCUUUGUCUCUCCAAAACAUACCCCUUUGCUGUAUAUGCAUGGAUGUCUUAACAUGAAUAACCUCCUUAAUGUAGAUACUUAUAUAUCUAAACUUCACAGAGACUUUUAUGUGCCUUGAAUGUAGUUUCUAUGUAAAGUGUGUGUUCAUGUAAAAGCCAUAGUUUUCCACUUAGUACUUUUUUUCAUUAAAAGCACAUUGAUGUCACCUGCACUUUGCCCAGUGGUAAAUCUCUGUUUGAAAUAUGCUGCCUUUUUAUUGUUAUUUUUCAAGAAUAUGCUACAGAAAUGUUCUCUGUGCAUCAGAUGAACAUGGAGCUGGGUAUUAUGCUACACAGCCUUGUACUGAUAUGCAGUUUUCCUCCACUGUUUAAAUGUCUGAUAUUUCAGGGACCAAUUGGUUUAGAAAUUGAAGCUAAGAAACGUUGAAUUGAGAACUGUGACAAAAUGUCAGUUCUGUAGAGUUUUACCUUUAGAAAACACAACUGAGUUUGACUCACUAUGUUUUCUGGUAACCAGCGAAUAGAAAAUGUGUUCUUACUGAUUUUAUUUUAUUUUAUUUUUUUCCUAUCUCCAGAGACACAUUCAGUGUAUGGUAAACUAAAGCCAUUAUAUUAUUCCAGAAAACAGAUGUGAUAAUUAAGAACAGGAAUAAGUUUCAAAAUUCAAUGGAAAAAAUAGUUGUCAAGUUUAUUUCUGAAGAGAAGCACAAACAAAAUGCAUGCCAAUGUGUGGAUGAUUAAUGGGGGAAUUUCCAAGGUCUUUCCAUUAGUUCCUUUAUACUGCUGUACACAAUCAUGCAUGCUUUGUAUGGCCAUCAUAACUUUACGCAAUAUACUUGACCAUAAUGCCAAUCAACAGUUUCUCCUGGCAAACAGAAAGUGUUAAGAACUUCAAUAUAAGAAGACUUUUUCUGCUUCAGAUGGAAUGGAUUCUGUUUGUCAUUAUUCACUUCCUCCUCAACUUGCUCAGUGUGCAUCUAAAUUAAUUCCUGUCACUUAGGUGCUCUCUUGAUAAAUACACGAUCUAUAUUUAAUGUCUCUUUAUUCUCAUUUUAUUAUACUUGUAUGCAGUAGUGAAAGAAGAUAAUGGGCAGAGCAGUGUACCACAGCAGAGAAUUUGAUACUGCUCCUUUUCACUUUUUGGUGGAACAGCUAUAUUUAGCAACACAGACUGUCAGCCACAAAUUGCCUACCUAUGUGCUCACUUUUUCCAAUCCGUGAUAUAGAAUUCUCUGUACUACAUUGAUAAAUAUCACCACGUUUCACCCAUACAGCUAUAGUAAUUGUUUCCAUAGUAACUGAUUAAUUUACAAAUGUUCUGAACUGGAAGAUUAAUUGGAAGAGGAGCAGAGGCGUAAAUCCAGUAUAAUAGGUGCUUGUGUGGGUGCUGUAAGGCUUUUGUUGCCUGUGCCAUAGGCAGUGCUUUAGUUAAGGAAAAUGAGGGGUUGAAAUUCAAUAUUUUAGGUGAGGUGUGAUUUACAAUUGCAAACAUAUAGGAGUGCAGAAGUCAAAAUAAUAAACCUUUGGUAAAUUUGCACACUCCUCCAUUUGCUACAUAUAAUUAUUUCCUGUCUGUGGUAUUAAUUCCUUGUGAGUAAAAGUUUCUCAUAGCAUGUCCUGCUUCAGUGUUGCUAAGUUCACCUAUUGAAUGCAGUUGGUUGUGUGGUGUUAGUUGUUUUUCUUUGUUUGUUUUAUUUAUAUACUUUGUCUAAAAAGCCAUUGAGUUUUUCUGUUAUGGGCAAGGAAAUUUAAAAGUUCCCAUUGUUUUUCAGUGCAGUAAAAAUAUAUUGAGAACUUCCAGUGCAUGCAGGCUGCAUUUAGCAUAAACAGGAAUCACAACAAUUGCUCUUUGUAAAUGAAAAAUCACUUGAAUUUAUGGCAUUGUUUUUUUGAUGUUUCUCUUCACAAAGAGGAAGAUAUUGCUGAGGCUACGAUCAUGGAUUUCCUUGCAAGACUGUCUUCUAGGCUCUUGGUUCUCUUUAGUUGGUGCAAAGUAGUUAUGGUAACUUACAGUGCAAUAAUUCACAUAUCCCACAAAGUUUAUUUGUUUGCUAAAAACAAACUACCUUUUUCCUCCCAGUACUUUGAAUCUCUUCUCGGGCACGCCAUUAGUGAAGUGCUUUCUUUCCAAAUCUGGAAAAAAAAAACAAAACACCAUCAAAUUGAGACUUAAUUUUAAGCUAUUUCUGAACGGAAGUAAUGAUGAAAAUAUGAAUGUUUCACCACGUUGUGAAACAUACAAGUAACUUGGAUUUAAAAACCUGUUUUUACAGCCUGUGCUUUCUAUGUUUAUGUGCUCAGGUCUUGGGGCAGCGAAGGACCCCUUACUCAAACUGUAGGCGCUACAAAUGAGCAAUGCAGUCUGGCCAAAUCUCAGUGACCCCCUCCUGCAGAGCUCAGGCUGGGCACUGUACAUUCCUUUCUGAUACUUUGGUGCUCCAGGAGGAUUUCCAAAAUCCUUUUUCCUGGGUUGGGUGCCUUAUUGAUGUCAAAAAACAAUGAAUAGAAUAGAUAUAGGAGAAAAAGAGGCAGGCACUGUGGGCUCGGUUUCAGGUGUUCAAAGACUCAUAGAAAAAGAUUCAUUCUGAAAAGUGCAUGCAAAACAUGAUUAUUUGGAAAAACAAUUAUUUGGAUUCAUUGAUGUUUAACUAUUCAGAGGGCAUCACUUGAGUUUAUGAAAAGUCAGAAAAAGUGCAGGAGAUACUAGGAUGGAUGCAAGUUUGAGGAAAGUAUCUUUGUUUAUAUUCUGGGAGAUGGGAAAAGGUGACCUCAAUUUUGAAGUUUCUGCUUCAGGCCAAUGUUAACGGCCAGAUCAUUAUGUUGCAUAAAAUCUUUUUACAGCAAUAUGCUAUUUCUAACUUUUUAAAAUAUUGUGCAGGCAUAAGGACCAAAUGCCACAAUGGUUUGUUAAUAAAAUUGCCACUUUGCCUAAUACAAGACUAACUCAAAUAAUGUGGAAAACAACAUUUCAAAGUCUUUCAAAUACCCCUUCCUGAAGUAUACAUGUAAUUAAGGCUGACUGAUCUUGCAGUUAGUUAUAGUAGGUGCUGAAGUUAUUUUCUUCCCUGACAAAAGGCAGAAUGGAUGAAAUCCUCUCAGAGAUUUCCUGAUAAUGGUGCAGAUUGUGUCUUUGAAUGAGAGACCCUGAAGUUAUACAGCACUGAUACUCCAGCUGUUCACCUUCUAAUCCCCCAGGUCAGGAAUCGGUCUGUGAUUCACAGGCUUCUGCUGUCCAGGCAUGCACAAAACAUACAGUCUCUCCCCAUUUUGAUAUUAGGCUGCCUUUGUACUUGCGAGCUGAGCCUGGUUUCAUGCUGCAUCUCUUCGCAGAACACCUGCAACUCCUUUAGGUUGUUGUAAUUCCACAGCACAUCACUCUAUUUUGCCAGCAAAAAUAUUGAGUUCAGGCACAGCUGCAUCAAUUAGCUCCUCAAGUCUGCAAAUAGUGAUACUGGUGACAUUUUUUUGGAUGAAUGAGGGACCUACUGGCAAGUACAUAAAUGAAAUGAUCAACAUUCUCUUUCAUGUUUCUUUGUGUUUAAACAUUCUUUUACCAUCGUGUACUUUGAAAGUGACAGUCUUCUGCCCUUAGCUCAUAAAACACUAACAAAUAUUUUGCAUCUGUCACUACCAUGCUUCAUAGAUGCACAGAUGUACAUGCUGAUUAAAUAUACAAGGGCUGCUCUGAAAGUUAUGCCUCCUACUUUAUUAUAUUGGCCCAUGAGAUAAAUGUUGGUGUUACGGCAGUAAAGGUUGAACCUUCCCAAGAAUAUUCUGUUACAUUUUGCUGCCAUGCAACAGAUGGCAGCAGAGGGGCAGUGUGACAAAAUGGCAUCUGACAUGGAAGUGCAUGUGAAAAAAGGGGUGUUAUUGAAGUCCUCCAUACAGAACAAAUGACACCCACUGACAUUCAUCAACACUUGCUGAACAUCAGUGGAGACCAAACAAUGGAUGUGAGCGCAGUGAGGCGGUGGGUGGUCUGUUUUAGCAGUGGUGACAGUUAUAUGAAAGAUAAGUAUGGCAUGCAAGCCCUUGGCAAAAAUGCAUAGCUAAUGGUGGUGCUAAAAAUAGCUUUCUGUAGCUGAGAAUUCUCUCCAUCAAAUAGUGUUAUUGUGCUCUUUGUAUCUGUUGUAGUUUCCAUGGAAAUUAAUGGGAGACAUUACUUCCAGGGUGACCUAUAUGUAUAAAUAUGUAUUUACCUUGGUCAGAGAUAACUGAUAUUUUGUGAUACAAACUACUUUAUUAUACAACUAGUGUCUUAUGAUCACUGAAUUUCAUUAUGUUGUUGUUAUCCUGUGCUGUUCCAGAUAGUUUCUCAUCUUGUUGUCUUUCCACAGAUACCCAGCCAAAGCCAAAGGAACUAAAGCUCACUGUAUCAUUAGGAGGAUGAAUCCCUCCUGUUGCUUUAUUUCUUUUCCAUUUGUUUGUUUUUUCUUUUUGUCUUUUUUGUUUGUUUUUGUCUUUUCUCUUUUUGGUAACUAAAAUCCAGAUCUACUAGGACACAUUUUGAAGAAAAAAAUGUUGGAAUGAUGGGGAAUAUAUCCAUCAACAAGAUGAGGAAAAUAGGAUCAAAGCCCAGGAAAGAGGAAGUCAGCUGGGAGGACUGUGCAGGUUAAUGUAGAGAUAAAGCAAAUCUUCUGAACGUUUGCCCCUAGCUGGAGCCCUGAGAGACAGGAGAGUAUACAUGCAUUAGACAUCUACUCUACCCGGCUGAUUUCAGGCAAUGAUUUGGAACAGAAGAUAUGAAGAUAUGAGCUCUGCCCUGCUUGGCUUGACACAGAAAAGAGAUUUUCUGUUGAUAUCACUGUUGGGUAGAACUGGUGCUUGACGUUUUCAUUAAAAUAACAGAUACAGCUCUACUUGCUGCUGUAGCUGCAAACUCCCUUGUUUAUAUUGCCUCUGUUUUACUUUCAGGGCAGGAACAUCCCCUUGGUCCUCAGACUGUUUAGAUUCAGGGAAGCAGUGAAUGUCAGUGUGUGUGUAUGUAUUCAGUUCCCUCUCUGUACAUUUAGAAAUUGUAAAGGGAAAUUUAUUGUGAAGAGGGAAAAAAUAUAGGACUGGUUUCUGUCCCUGUGCUAAUAUCAUGGUAUUAACAUAGGUGAAUUGCUGCUGGUUGAUAUGAGCCUGGCUUCCAAGAGGACAUUCUUGUAGCACCUUGAUUGCCUGGGCCACCCCUCCAAGGAGGCUCAGCAGGCAGCCUCAGCCUUUCUUGUUUGCUGUUUUGUUGUUUCAGUUCUCAGCUGGAGAUUAUUUCUUCUUUCUGUCUCCUCUUGAUACAUGAAUGUGCUGUGUCAGGCUUGCCUUCAGGUCAGUGUCCUGUGCAGGCCUCGCCAUGGUGUCAGCAGUAAGCAGAUCUGAGAAGGCCAAAGGCAGGGCAUCAAUGGAAAAUGAGCCUAACAAAUGGGAAGUCAGGCUGGAUGGCCAGCCAUAAUGUCUUUCCUCUCACGAAACAUGACAGAAAGGCACAACAGAAAAGGCUGCUUUUCCUUAUCUUUAGCCUUUCACCUGGGUUUGUUUUUUCCUCUGUCCUAAUGGUUCCUUGUCAGCUUUUUCUGUGUCCUGACUUCCUUUCCCCUGAGCCUCUCUUGAGAGGCAGAGGAACAGGGUCUGAGCAAGGCAACAGUGGGCAACAAGCUAUAAAUUUGACAGAUUAUGAACGUGCUUCAGUGUGCUGUGUAACCUGUAAAUCAAAACCCAUUUUAAGACCAGCAAUGAAUCCCUGUAUAUCAAAAAGCAGGAGAUGUUAGAAUAGGCAGUUGCUGCCUCUUACAAUAGCUCCUCCAGAAACACAUUGUGCAGAGGGUCUUGUAUUCAUCAUUAAAAUUGUUUUCUUUCUUCCAUUAGCUGCUAUGCAGCAUGUAUGUAUUAGAAGUCAUGGCUAGUAUGACUUCAUUGAUAAAGCUCCAUUGUAUCCAACAUGAAAAGAGAAUAAAAGAGGUAAUAUUCUCUGGCAUAUCAUGUGGACUCUCUUUUUACAGCAUGGACUUCAAGGGACAGAAAUGUCUCUCGUUAGGUUUUCUUCUCUGCUACUGAAAUCCUGGUGAAAUCCAAGCUCACAAAUUGAGCUUAAAACUGAAAGGGAGUUGAGCACGUCAAAAUGCUUCAUAAACCAAAGGCACAGCAAAGUUUCAGAGAUAUGUUUAAAAUAUGUACAUCUCUUUGACUGAUACUUUAUAGUGAGAGACUGUCACUGUGGGCAGACAAAAAAUUACCCUUCUCUGCUUCAGCAGACCAACCCACAUCCUACCUGGUUAAGUUCACUCCCUCAGCAAGGGAUGUGGAUGGGGACCGCUUCUGGCAGCAAGGAAGGAAGGCAGCAGUCUGUAUUUCCCCACCUCCCUUCUCCUCUCCAGACUAAGAACAAGCACUGAAGUGCGGGACAUGAGGUAAAUGCAAUCGCUAUGAAUUAAAACUUCAGCUCCUUAAGUGCUUUUGUUACUAUUUGGUCAUCUGUUUAUUUUCCCAAGAAAGCUGAACUAUCCAGAGGAUGCUCUGAAAAGAGGGGCUACCCAGAAUUGGGUAUCUGAUGGGCCUGAUCUUGAAGCCAAGAGAAACUUGGUGUAGUAGUUUACCUGACCAGAGGUAAACAAAGGUAAACCAGAGGAAAACCAUUUAAAAAACACUCACCAUGGAGAUGCAAACUACCUAAAAAUGCCAGAUGCAGACGAGAAUAUUUGAAAUCAUAAGACAAGAAACCAAUUUCUGUUUUAGUGAUUCACUGACUACCUAAGAGCACUGUAUUAGUGCAGUAGCCAUCAGAAGCCAACACAGACAAAAGAAGCAUUGUAAUUCAUCAAAGUUUAAAUACCAGAGCUAUGCUGAAGGGCAUCUAAGCCAUCUGUAAAAGAAGACUUCAGUCACUGCAAAGCAGGUUGCAGAAAAUAACCAUUUCCAGAAAUCAGAAGAUUUUUUCAUGGAAAGACUUCAGUAGAUCAUGAUAUCGGAGCUGUCUCAUACAUUCCAGAGUACCAGCAUCAAGAUCAGGUUGAAGAUACUAGACUAAUGUGUCAGUACAAUAGUUUGGGCUUUGAUACAUGCUUGCCAAAUCAGUAAACUACGAGGAAAAUAGAAAAUAUUUCAGAUAUUCUGAAAGUCAUUACCUCUGAACUGUAUCCUGAACCACUGCUCACUCAGGUACUUACAUACACACCUCACUCAGGUGAGGUCUUCCAUAAAAAAGAGCUCAACAAACUCCAGGGUCUUAACAGCCUCCUCAGGAUCAACACAUAGAGACAACCUCUUAUUUACAGCUGCCAGCCAAGUGUUGUGUCAUGUUCACCUCUUUUUAAGCAGUGCUUAUGGACUUCAGGGAAGUUAGGGAUCUAUUUCUAUGGGGAGAACAAGUCAGAUAAGUCUGUGGUUAUUGUCUUCCUUGCUUUCUGGAGGACAUUGUUGCAGGACUUUUACUGUGCUUUCCAUAUGACAUAGUUGCAGAGGCAGGCAGACCAUGGCCUGUGUGGGAUGGGAAAGUAUUUGGUACACAAUGAUUCCUUUGGGAUUGUGCUGUCUAGAAGAUGGAAGAGGGCCAGGAGAGAUCAAAGGUGCAGUAUCUGCUAAAAAAUAGUGAUUACAGCUGUGCAUAUAUAUGGCUGUGGGGGGUAUUCUGUUUUCUGUUUUGAUUUACUUAUUAGGCUGUUAGGAAACAUCAUUUCAAUUUCAAAAUAAUUUUUUAAAUUAGAAAUAUUCUUUCUUACUCAAACAUAGAUGUCUUUCUGUGUGUGUUUAUGUCGUUGCAGAUUCCUCACAUUUUAAGGGUAAACUUAGGUUCGUAUGCAUUUACAUUAUGAAAAUUUGUGUAAACCUGAAAUGGUUUACUGAAAGGGAAACAAAAAGAAUUGUAUAAAGAUUCAUGAUCUCUCACUGGUCUUAUUUUAACAAGAAACUAUAAAAG
RNAcentral lists this long non-coding RNA (28014 nucleotides) under Gallus gallus (chicken). The record is from RNAcentral. Lineage: Eukaryota; Metazoa; Chordata; Aves; Galliformes; Phasianidae.